AAAUAAGCAUAUCAAUAAGCGGAGGAAAAGAAACCAACAGGGAUUGCCUCAGUAACGGCGAGUGAAGCGGCAACAGCUCAAAUUUGAAAUCUGGCCUCUUUCGGGGUCCGAGUUGUAAUUUGGAGAGGAUGUUUCGGGUACGGUCCGGGCUUAAAUUUCUUGGAACAGAAUGUCACGGAGGGUGAGAAUCCCGUCUGGAGCUCGGACACGGCCUAUGUGAAACUCCUUCGACGAGUCGAGUUGUUUGGGAAUGCAGCUCUAAAUGGGUGGUAAAUUUCAUCUAAAGCUAAAUAUUGGCCAGAGACCGAUAGCGCACAAGUAGAGUGAUCGAAAGAUGAAAAGCACUUUGAAAAGAGAGUUAAACAGUACGUGAAAUUGUUGAAAGGGAAGCGCUGGCAACCAGACUUGCGCGUCGGGGUUCCCCCUUGCUUCUGCCUGGGUUACUCCCCGGCGUUCAGGCCAACAUCGGUUUUGGGGGUUGGUUAAAGGCCCUGGGAAUGUACCUACCCUCCGGGGUAGACUUAUAGCCCAGGGUGUCAUGCGACCUCCCGGGACCGAGGAACGCGCUUCGGCUCGGAUGUUGGCGUAAUGGUUGUCAGCGACCCGUCUUGAAACACGGACCAAGGAGUCUAACAUCUAUGCGAGUGUUAGGGUGUCAAACCCUUACGCGGAAUGAAAGUGAACGGAGGUAGGAAGCCUUUAGGCUGCACUAUCGACCGAUCCUGAAGUUUACGGAUGGAUUUGAGUAAGAGCAUAGCUGUUGGGACCCGAAAGAUGGUGAACUAUGCCUGAAUAGGGUGAAGCCAGAGGAAACUCUGGUGGAGGCUCGCAGCGGUUCUGACGUGCAAAUCGAUCGUCAAAUUUGGGUAUAGGGGCGAAAGACUAAUCGAACCAUCUGGUAGCUGGUUCCUGCCGAAGUUCCCCCUUCAGGAA
This 933-nucleotide ribosomal RNA is filed under the name Cyphellophora musae. RNAcentral's name for it is "eukaryotic LSU rRNA". It matches the Rfam family "Eukaryotic large subunit ribosomal RNA", at positions 32 to 979 of the family's 3401-position model. The record is from RNAcentral. Lineage: Eukaryota; Fungi; Ascomycota; Eurotiomycetes; Chaetothyriales; Cyphellophoraceae.